AUGGCGCAGCCGCGGCAGCAGCAACGACAAGGUCGCCUCGUCGCGGCGCUCCUGGUGCUCCUCUCCCUCUGCUGCCUUGCUCGCCUCGGCGCCGCGGCUUCUGCAGCGAGUGCUGACCCUCACCGGAAGGAUGGAGCGGCGACUGCGCUGGACAAGGCCGCGCCACAGGAGGAGGAGGCAGUGCCCGGGUUCACGGUGACCACCGUGGAGGAGCGAGCGCGAGGCCGAGGACCGGUGAGGGUGGUGAUGGAGGUCGACAUCGAGGACUAUCCCCGGUAUGGCGCCAAUGGCCGGCACAACCCGGAGGGUCCGCACCCGUGA
This 321-nucleotide ribosomal RNA is filed under the name Triticum aestivum (bread wheat). Its description in RNAcentral is "partial small subunit ribosomal RNA". Lineage: Eukaryota; Viridiplantae; Streptophyta; Magnoliopsida; Poales; Poaceae. The record is from RNAcentral.